Molecule: long non-coding RNA, 1653 nt
Organism: Triticum dicoccoides
Lineage: Eukaryota; Viridiplantae; Streptophyta; Magnoliopsida; Poales; Poaceae
Exons: 7
Source: RefSeq, a predicted model, not a curated record
CAGAUACCCUUGCAGAUGUAUUUAUCUGGCUGAUGGCACUCGUUGGUAUCUGUAAAUAGCACACAGGGAAGGAAUGAUGAAACGAAAAAGCAAAUCAUUCAAUUUUGUAUACUGUGGCACCGUUACAUGCUUGAAUGUGGCUGAAGAUUAUCCAUUUGAAGAGAAAGCUACUGUACGGCGAAUCCUUCCCUUGCUUCAGCGUCACACAUUGGUUCAGACCUUUGGACCAAAGAACCAUGUCCGUUUAAAGGCCAGCUCCAUCGUAAUUUCACCAUAUGCGCCUACACAGAAAAUGCAAAUUCCAUCUUCAUGUACUUCCGUGGUCUCUUCUACGACACCAGCAAUGGUUUGGCAGCACAGCACAUGGGGGCAAUGGACCAUCUGAAUACUCUAUGCUACUAUCAUUAUUUGUACUCUGAUUUGGCCCAUCUGACUUGAUUAUUUCAGUCUGCACAUGUUCUUUGGCACUUUGUUUUCAGACAAGAUUUGCUUUCUUUUCUGAAAAACUGUCAGACUACUCUUCAUAUAUGCUCGUAACUACUCCCUCCAUCCCACAAUAUAAAUGUCUUAUAUUAUGAGACGGAGGGAGUAGCUGGCUACUUGAAAGUAACUACCUGCCAUUCCAUACCAUAUUUCCUUGACUGAAAUCUCAUUGGUUAUUUUAUGUUUUAAGCACCAUCUUUUAUCGUUCCGUAACAAGUGCUUCCAAUGUUAUUUCAGGAAAAAGAAAGCAAUUGUAUGAAGAUUAGGGCAUGCACGGGUGUUUUUGUUGUUGUCUCUGUCUUCUCUCUUGCAUAAGCAAAAAUAAAUGAAAAUUCAGUGAAAUUUUUCCCGAUAACAAUUGGAGCUGGGGCGGAUGGUUCUGGUGCCAUGCUGUUGGAGUGGGGUACAGAGACGCUAUGUCCCUCUUUAACAGAUAAUGGAUAGAGAGGUGAAACAAAAAUGGAAAUCAUUUGGCUCUCAAUUAGUUAUAGCCUGACAACAUGCUUGAAUGUGGUUUGGGAGUAUGUAUUUGAACAUGGUUGUUCAGGACUUCGGACAGAAGAUCAUAUCUGCUUGAAGGGCGGCUCCGUUGCAAUUUCGCCAUAUGCGCCUCCACAGAAAAUGCAAAAACCAUCUUCAUAUACUUACAUGGUUUCCUUCUAGAUCCCAAGGGUGGAUUACUGUGCAAGAGGUGCUUGUGCAUCUGCUGGGGAGAAGUUCAAGAACAACCUGCUCUUUGACAUCUCAACCGAUUGCCCACCCAGAGCUGUGGUUUUCUGUUAAAUCUUGAAGUUGUAACAGAUGAUGAUGAUCCGACUCCUGAAGCUGUUUGGUGUGUUUGGUUUGCAUCUGUUUGGUGUGUUUGUUUCCGAGGAGGAUGCUCCGACUCCUGAAGCUGGACAGUAUCCUGAAAAGAUGUUAUAGAGGAAGCAACCGACUUGUCGGAAACCCUUCGUAAUGAAGCUAUGGUGUUCGAGUGAUGGUACACGUAUACGAUAAAAUUUGAACCAUUCUUGUUUUCAAUCUGUACGUUCCAUGUUAGUGUCGUGUCAGCAUUGUGGAGGAAAGUAUUGUAUGCACAUCAUUUUCGAUGGUGUUCCUUUUUUGUGCUCAAGCUGGAGAUGCAUUUCAUCAGAUACUCGCAAGCUCCCAUAUGGCAAAACUGUGUGU